RNAcentral lists this ribosomal RNA (459 nucleotides) under uncultured bacterium. Its description in RNAcentral is "partial 16S ribosomal RNA". It matches the Rfam family "Bacterial small subunit ribosomal RNA", at positions 338 to 795 of the family's 1533-position model. The record is from RNAcentral.
CCUACGGGAGGCAGCAGUGAGGAAUAUUGGUCAAUGGCCGUAAGGCUGAACCAGCCAAGUCGCGUGAAGGAAGAAGGAUCUAUGGUUUGUAAACUUCUUUUAUAGGGGAAUAAAGGUAUCCACGUGUGGAUAUUGCAUUUACCCUAUUAAUUAACCUCGGCUAACCCCGUGCCAGCCGCCGCGGUAAUUCGGAGGAAGCGAGCGUUAUCCGGAUUUAUUGGGUUUAAAGGGUGCGUAGGUUGUUUUUUAAGUCAGCGGUGAAAGUUUGUGGCUCAACCAUAAAAUUGCCGUUGAAACUGGAAGACUUGAGUGUGUUUGAGGUAGGCGGAAUGCGUGGUGUAGCGGUGAAAUGCAUAGAUAUCACGCAGAACUCCGAUUGCGAAGGCAGCUUACUAAGCCAUAACUGACACUGAAGCACGAAAGCGUGGGGAUCAAACAGGAUUAGAUACCCUUGUAGUC